GCUUUACACAUGCAAGUCGAACGGCAGCGGGGGCUUCGGCCUGCCGGCGAGUGGCGAACGGGUGAGUAAUGCAUCGGAACGUGCCCAUGUCGUGGGGGAUAACGUAGCGAAAGCUACGCUAAUACCGCAUACGUCCUGAGGGAGAAAGCGGGGGAUCUUCGGACCUCGCGCGAUUGGAGCGGCCGAUGUCGGAUUAGCUAGUAGGUGAGGUAAAGGCUCACCUAGGCGACGAUCCGUAGCGGGUCUGAGAGGAUGAUCCGCCACACUGGGACUGAGACACGGCCCAGACUCCUACGGGAGGCAGCAGUGGGGAAUUUUGGACAAUGGGCGCAAGCCUGAUCCAGCCAUGCCGCGUGAGUGAAGAAGGCCUUCGGGUUGUAAAGCUCUUUCGGCCGGGAAGAAAUCGUGGUCUCUAACAUAGGCCAUGGAUGACGGUACCGGACUAAGAAGCACCGGCUAACUACGUGCCAGCAGCCGCGGUAAUACGUAGGGUGCGACCGUUA
This 503-nucleotide ribosomal RNA is filed under the name uncultured Thauera sp. Its description in RNAcentral is "bacterial SSU rRNA". It matches the Rfam family "Bacterial small subunit ribosomal RNA", at positions 46 to 543 of the family's 1533-position model. The record is from RNAcentral. Lineage: Bacteria; Pseudomonadati; Pseudomonadota; Betaproteobacteria; Rhodocyclales; Zoogloeaceae.